RNAcentral lists this ribosomal RNA (757 nucleotides) under unidentified microorganism. RNAcentral describes it as "bacterial SSU rRNA". It matches the Rfam family "Bacterial small subunit ribosomal RNA", at positions 49 to 853 of the family's 1533-position model. The record is from RNAcentral.
CUACACAUGCAAGUCGAACGGAUCCUUCGGGAUUAGUGGCGGACGGGUGAGUAACACGUGGGAACGUGCCUUUUGGUUCGGAAUAGCUCCUGGAAACGGGUGGUAAUGCCGAAUGUGCCCUUCGGGGGAAAGAUUUAUCGCCAUUAGAGCGGCCCGCGUCUGAUUAGCUAGUUGGUGAGGUAAAGGCUCACCAAGGCUACGAUCAGUAGCUGGUCUGAGAGGAUGACCAGCCACAUUGGGACUGAGACACGGCCCAAACUCCUACGGGAGGCAGCAGUGGGGAAUCUUGCGCAAUGGGCGAAAGCCUGACGCAGCCAUGCCGCGUGAAUGAUGAAGGUCUUAGGAUUGUAAAAUUCUUUCACCGGGGACGAUAAUGACGGUACCCGGAGAAGAAGCCCCGGCUAACUUCGUGCCAGCAGCCGCGGUAAUACGAAGGGGGCUAGCGUUGCUCGGAAUUACUGGGCGUAAAGGGAGCGUAGGCGGACAUUUAAGUCAGGGGUGAAAUCCCAGAGCUCAACUCUGGAACUGCCUUUGAUACUGGGUGUCUUGAGUGUGAGAGAGGUAUGUGGAACUCCGAGUGUAGAGGUGAAAUUCGUAGAUAUUCGGAAGAACACCAGUGGCGAAGGCGACAUACUGGCUCAUUACUGACGCUGAGGCUCGAAAGCGUGGGGAGCAAACAGGAUUAGAUACCCUGGUAGUCCACGCUGUAAACGAUGAUUGCUAGUUGUCGGGAUGCAUGCAUUUCGGUGACGCAGCU